This 125-nucleotide small RNA is filed under the name Marmota monax (woodchuck). The record is from RNAcentral. Lineage: Eukaryota; Metazoa; Chordata; Mammalia; Rodentia; Sciuridae.
GCUGGGUGUGGUGGUGCUUGCCUAUAAUCUCAGCAGCUUGGGAGGCUGAGAUAGGAGGAUUGCGAGUUCAAAGCCAGCCUCAGCAAUGGCGAGGCACUAAGCAACUCAGUGAGACCCUGUCUCUA